This is a long non-coding RNA of Oreochromis niloticus (Nile tilapia), 1330 nucleotides long. RefSeq lists it as uncharacterized. The transcript has 4 exons. The record is from RefSeq and is a predicted model, not a curated record. Lineage: Eukaryota; Metazoa; Chordata; Actinopteri; Cichliformes; Cichlidae.
AGCUCCAGUGAACCCUGAAGUAGUCUCAGGUAGAGGGGGUGGGUGGGGAGCUGUGCACUCUGCAGGAAGCGAGAGAGACGAGAGCUGAACAGUGUCGAGUGAACGCAGAGUUCAUAGAAGGGCGACAGACAUAUUUUCGGAUUGACGGAUAGUUAACUGGAGUGAAAAGCUGUUGUACCCUACUGUGAGUAGGAGGAGACGGACGUCUUGCUGGCGUGUCAGAGAGGUCCCUUCUACUGGUGUGCUGAAGUUAUGUGUUCACGUGGGAGCACGUGGAGAGGACGACUGAGUGCUGCUGCCGCGGCCUGCUGGUAGCCUUGACCCAGUUUCCCCCUGCUAUCCCCUUGAACUGCCUGGAGGUGUGAGUACUGUUUGCACGUGCUUUUUAUUUUACUGCUUGGCAACAAGUGAAGCGACCAUAUUGUUUUAGGUCCCAACGCACCCGAGCCACGACUCAGGCCUGCAACGAGGGGUUUGCUAGCAGAAAGACUGUAGCACUUGAGAUACGAGAACUGCAAGAGCUACAAGAGGCUGUGAACAAUGACAGUCCAGCUGCUGAACAUCAGGAGGUAUCAGCUGACUCAUGGCUGAUGCCGUACCACAGACAGAAGCGUGGCAUCAAGUGUCGCUUUUGCUGCGGCUGCUGCAAUUCUGGUGUCUGUGGAUUGUGCUGCAGAUUCUGAGAAUAUCUACCUGCGAUUCUCACAUUAACCACUAAAUAUAGACGGUUAUACCUGAAAUGAUUUGACUGCUUAGCAUUUGUUGAAGUCUGACAGUGUUUCUUCAUCUGGUGAUCCUGCUGUAACAGUGAACAGUGCAGCAUUUGGAACUACAGUAUGUUAUUAUAUUAAACUUCAGUGGCACUAUACUACAACAUGUGCUGUUUGUUUCUGUUUCUGUCUGACAAGAAUGAAACAUUAAUGGAAACCAGUGACAUGAAGCUCCUGAUGUACACUUUUUGUGCUGAUGCCAGUUAAGAGUUGUGGCCUCAUACUCUUGCCCAUAUAAUAUGUGGUACAACCUGUUAAUAGAGCCAAGUCAUUGAUAGCAAAAGUAAAGUGAGCAUAUUUUCCCAUAUUUGUAAUUAUAUGAGUACAGAGCAUUUCAUCAUCAUUCAAUAUUACCACUAAUUAUGACAAAAAUGCAGUAAUGUGCAAAAGCUUUGAGCUGAUGGACUGGUUCAUUGGUUAUUUGAAAGUUAAAUCAAGCAUACUUUUUUUUAAAGAAUGUAGAAGUGUUAGAUACUGUUUACUCGAAACACUUUCUAUACAAGUUCAUUCAUAAAUGUUUAUCUUAUCUAUGCCAUUAAAACACUGUGUAUGCAGAUCUA